UUAAGUUCAGCGGGUAUUCCUACCUGAUCCGAGGUCAACCUGAAUAAGUGGGGGGUUUCACGGCGGGCGCCCGCGGCGUUCCCAAAGCGAGGAUGAUUACUACGCUCGGGCUCGCGGCGAGCACGCCACUGAUUUUCGGGGCCCGCGGCGGCCGCGGGGUCCCCAACACCAGGCGGGGCCUGAGGGUUGAAAUGACGCUC
Molecule: unclassified non-coding RNA, 200 nt
Filed under: Sordariales sp.
Lineage: Eukaryota; Fungi; Ascomycota; Sordariomycetes; Sordariales
Description: partial internal transcribed spacer 2
Source: RNAcentral